This 274-nucleotide ribosomal RNA is filed under the name uncultured bacterium. Its description in RNAcentral is "partial 16S ribosomal RNA". It matches the Rfam family "Bacterial small subunit ribosomal RNA", at positions 523 to 796 of the family's 1533-position model. The record is from RNAcentral.
AUACGGAGGGUGCAAGCGUUACUCGGAAUCACUGGGCGUAAAGCGCGCGCAGGCGGGCUGAUAAGUUGGAUGUGAAAGCCUACGGCCCAACCGUAGAACUGCAUCCAAAACUGUCAGUCUAGAGUCUGGGAGGGGAAGAUGGAAUUAGUUGUGUAGGGGUAAAAUCCGUAGAGAUAACUAGGAAUACCAAAAGCGAAGGCGAUCUUCUGGAACAGUACUGACGCUGAGGCGCGAAAGCGUGGGGAGCAAACAGGAUUAGAAACCCUAGUAGUCC